Myodes glareolus (Bank vole) is the source of this 107-nucleotide small nuclear RNA. The record is from RefSeq and is a predicted model, not a curated record. NCBI's taxonomy places the organism in Eukaryota, Metazoa, Chordata, Mammalia, Rodentia, Cricetidae.
GUGCUGGCUUUGGCAGCUCACGUGCUAAACCUGGAAUGAUGCAGAGAAGAUGAGCAGGGGUCCUGUGUGAGGAUGGCAAGAAAACCUGCGAGGCUCUAAACAACAAA